CGGAUUGAAGGCUGAAAUUCGCCUUCAUGAAGCUGGAAUUGCUAGUAAUGGCAGGUCAGCAUACUGCCGUGAAUACGUUCCCGGGCCUUGUACACACCGCCCGUCACACCAUGAGAGUUGGAAAUACCCGAAGCCUGUGAGCUAACUUAAAGAGGCAGCAGUCGAAGGUAGAGCCAAUGAUUGGGGUGAAGUCGUAACAAGGUAUC
This 206-nucleotide ribosomal RNA is filed under the name uncultured bacterium. RNAcentral describes it as "partial 16S ribosomal RNA". It matches the Rfam family "Bacterial small subunit ribosomal RNA", at positions 1294 to 1500 of the family's 1533-position model. The record is from RNAcentral.